AACUAACAGGGAUUCCCCUAGUAACUGCGAGUGAAGCGGGAAAAGCUCAAAUUUAAAAUCUGGCGGUCUUCGGCCGUCCGAGUUGUAGUCUGGAGAAGUGCUUUCCGCGCUGGACCGUGUAUAAGUCUCUUGGAACAGAGCGUCAUAGAGGGUGAGAAUCCCGUCUUUGACACGGACUACCAGUGCUUUGUGAUGCGCUCUCAAAGAGUCGAGUUGUUUGGGAAUGCAGCUCAAAAUGGGUGGUGAAUUCCAUCUAAAGCUAAAUAUUGGCGAGAGACCGAUAGCGAACAAGUACCGUGAGGGAAAGAUGAAAAGCACUUUGGAAAGAGAGUUAAACAGUACGUGAAAUUGCUGAAAGGGAAACGCUUGAAGUCAGUCGCGUCGUCCGGAACUCAGCCUUGCUUUCGCUUGGUGCACUUUCCGGAUGACGGGUCAGCAUCGAUUUUGACCGUCGGAAAAGGGCUGGAGUAAUGUGGCACCUCCGGGUGUGUUAUAGACUCUAGUCGCAUACGGCGGUUGGGAUCGAGGAACGCAGCGCGCCGCAAGGCAGGGGUUCGCCCACUUUCGCGCUUAGGAUGCUGGCAUAAUGGCUUUAAACGACCCGUCUUGAAACACGGACCAAGGAGUCUAACAUACCUGCGAGUGUUUGGGUGGAAAACCCGAGCGCGUAAUGAAAGUGAAAGUUGAGACCUCUGUCGUGGAGGGCAUCGACGCCCGGACCUGACGUUCUCUGAAGGAUCCGCGGUAGAGCAUGUAUGUUGGGACCCGAAAGAUGGUGAACUAUGCCUGAAUAGGGUGAAGCCAGAGGAAACUCUGGUGGAGGCUCGUAGCGAUUCUGACGUGCAAAUCGAUCGUCAAAUUUGGGUAUAGGGGCGAAAGACUAAUCGAAC
This 890-nucleotide ribosomal RNA is filed under the name Ganoderma weixiensis. Its description in RNAcentral is "partial large subunit ribosomal RNA". It matches the Rfam family "Eukaryotic large subunit ribosomal RNA", at positions 63 to 940 of the family's 3401-position model. Lineage: Eukaryota; Fungi; Basidiomycota; Agaricomycetes; Polyporales; Polyporaceae. The record is from RNAcentral.